ACAGGCACCAUGGCAACAGCAAUAUUCCAGUCCCAGAAUGCUGCAGUUUUCACAAGUUGAAGGCAGGAGAAAGAAUUCUGCUUUUCACUUCAACUAUGCCAAUUACCCUAAUGAGGUCCACCUGGCAUCAAGCCAAGUCGUAAACUAUUAAACAAGAAUAUCUGAUAUUUUCUCUUCUUGCGGCAACACCAGCAGGACUAGCCGUCGGGCUUCCAUCUGGGCGGAGGACCCUCUGCUGGCACUGUGUGCUGGCACUGUUUGAAACAAGCAGACCUACAAGUCAUACAUCUCAAAUGAACUUCAGUCGGUGUUCACAUCAUUCGUGUUGCUGUCCUGCUGCAGAUACAGAUCACCUGAUCGCCAUUGUUGUUGGUGCUCUGCUGAAUUUUGAUCAUUGCAUUACCAUUUUCCGUCACAGUGUUCCAUGCCAUGGCUAUCAGAUACUGUAUCCACUACAGGUAUAAACGCUAAUCGUUGAAAAUGAAAGAAGCACAUACAGUACAUUUGAUUAAAUCUGUGUGUGGUCAACUGCAUGCAGACUUAGUGUGUGGACCAUAUUAGCCAGCAGCUAUGCUCUAAUUUAAGAGCUCUGAUACAGGGUGAAAUGCAGAGCUAGAAGUCUAGGGAGAGUGGAGGGUUACUAUAGCAAUGAUGUCUUAGAAACAGCCAUACCAGUUUGGACAGUCUGUUACAAAUGUUUAUCUGAUGUCUCUUUGGUUCGUUUUGUAAAGGGCAGGACAUACAUGAAGUACAUAUACCUAAACAUGUUAUGACUCCUCUUCUACUUUCAGUGCUGAAUAAUGAUAUACAGUACUGAAUUUAAGAGCUGGGACUGAGUUUUGAAAUGGUGUGCACUGAAUCAACCAGAAAUCUGCCAAAACUCCUUCUGGAACUCAAUUUUUCACCAAUCAAGAAAUAUAUCACUGCUUAAAAGACUUUGGGGAAUUCUCCCCUUUGGACAAGAACAUCUUAAAGUCUCUCGCCCCCAGGGGUUGUGUGUCUGCAGGGAAGGCUUCAGACAAGAGGGGGAUCAAAUAACUUCUUACUUUUUUGGUGUAACAAAUGUUAAUGUUAGAAAAACUCAUCUAUGUAUGUAACAAUCAAUCUAGAUGUGCAUUACAUGUAUAAAGAGUAUGUUCAUUAUAUCAUGUGCAAGGUAUUUUUUGAAAGGAGGUGUAUAAAUGAAUGUUUUUGGGUUUCGUUUAGUCCACAGAGAGAAUACUGUGUUUAUGUUUAGGGGGUAUAAUAGUUUUUUUCCCUAAAAGUCUUUUUAGGGAAAAAAAUAGGUCAACAUUCCCAUUUGAUCAUCACAGUUGAAAUCACAUGUUGACUAUGUUUACAGAGCUGAUUAAGGACACAGUGACAACUCCCCAGCCCUAAGCCCGUCCACACAGAACCUGGAUUGCCUGACGCUGUGUCAGUCUUCUGUCCACCUUAUCUGCAGACACUAAGAGCUGAUAUGCCAAAGGUCUGUAAAAACAUGUAGGAAUCACACGUCAUGUAAUCGCUUGCCAGCUUCAAGGUAUACGUAUUGGGUGAUUCAGUGACUUACACUUGCAUAUAUUUAUAACUUUACAACUCAAAUUUGUCUUGAUUUAUAGUUGUAGUUCCAGUACAGCCAUAUGAAAGAAUCACACUUGUCAUGCAAUACUUGCCUGAUAAAUCUGUGGUAAAAAGCUUGCCCAUUUCAUUUCUAAAAAGGUAUAAUUCCCUUCAACAUGCAUGGUAGGUCAUAUAUCAAACACAUAUCAAAGAGAGAAAAAAUUGUUUAUACUUUAUAAAGAGACCUUCGUUAUUAUAUAGUCAGUCUUAUUUAAGGACAAAAACUACAUUUUUAAACAAAAUAUAUUUUUAUUAAUUUAAUAAACAUAUUGAGUAAUGAUCAUACAGCUUCCUAAUAUGCUCAGACAUUUUCACAGUGAUGUCAUGGAGUUCCUCUGGCUCAUCUGUCUCUCAUGUCUGUGUGGAUCGACUGGUAGAGCAGGGUGCUCACAACACAAAGGUUCAAAGUGUCCCAGGAGGCACACCUAUGAUGAAACAUGUGUGUCUGUAACUGUAACUCCCCGUAAGGCAGCCACUCCUCCGCUCUCAGUAGGAACAUCUACUAUAUGAAUAAAUGGAACUGAUCAUGACAAAAAGUCAGAUUUAAUUACAUAUAGUUAGCAUUCAUGAAUGGCAUGAUAAUUGUGUAAAAUAUAAUAAAUAUGUAAAAAUAAAAUAUCUAAGGCACAGGAUAAAGACAUUCUACAUUCAUUUGUUCUAUGUUACUGUUUAUGAAAGGGGCCAAUAUCACAUCUUAACAUGCAGUUAUCGUAUGUCAUAUAACAGUGCACAUUUGUGUAACAUAUAUUUAAACUAUAGAAAUUCACUGAUAAAAAUCAUAUGAAUUUGACAGACUUUUUUCAUAUGUGGUAUUGGACAGAGAGUGAAGCUAUAACAGAAGUUAGAAAUAGCAGGGGACGAAUGCAGAUGAAGGGUGAUGAGAGAUGACACUCCCCUUUCCCUCUGUGACAAAACAAAAUGAAGUUCCUGAGUUCAACAACAGAUGACAGGCAGGUAAGAUUUGGGUGUUGAUUCAUUUCUGACAGCUUCCACAAGAGGCAAAGAAGCACACAGUCACAAUUUUCAAUUAAUUUUGAAAUCUAAUCACCCCUCCCUCCCAGGGAAGCACUUCCCCUGUCUGUCACGGACACUCUGUGAAAGGUGAGUGUGUGUGUGAUACACGGCUGGUGAUACGCAAGUGUCAUUGAAGAACAGAACAGAAUUAAUCAGUAAUUCAAGAGUGCAACAUGUUUUACCUAAAAAGGUAAGAUAGUCCGUCGCGUGACCUGCCCCGCCGGGAUGAAGUCUAUUAUAUAUUAUAUAUUACAUAUCCUUCGUAAGUGAAGUCCAUUCGUAUAUCAUUCUGCACAAAAAUCUCUGUGACUUUCUUGUAAAAGUCCUCCUUAUCUUCUUUUAGUCUUAAAAGUCUCUCCAUCUCAAUGGAGAUUAAUGCCAGGGAUGAAAGCUGUUCUUGGUCAGUCCGAUUCCGACUGUAUGUUUUGAGUCUUUUCAAAGCAGAGAAUGACCUUUCCCCGGACACUGCUGUAGCCGGUAUAGUGAGCACCAGCUGGAGUAACUUUGUCGCCUCAGGAACAGUCUGCAUCAGAUCAUUCUGGGCCAAAAAGCUGAGAAGCUGUCCAGGGGAUUUACAUUCAUCCCUCACUGUUUGUGAGCUAUACAGUCCGAUGAGAUCAGCCUUUAGUCUAUCAAAGUCAAAGAACCUGGCGUAGUUUGACAGGCUCUGCAGUUUGGCGUCAUCAAAAUGUUGUGACAUUUCAUCAAAUUUUGU
Clupea harengus (Atlantic herring) is the source of this 3331-nucleotide long non-coding RNA. NCBI's taxonomy places the organism in Eukaryota, Metazoa, Chordata, Actinopteri, Clupeiformes, Clupeidae. The record is from Ensembl.